CCUACGGGUGGCAGCAGUGAGGAAUAUUGGUCAAUGGGCGCGAGCCUGAACCAGCCAAGUAGCGUGAAGGAUGACUGCCCUACGGGUUGUAAACUUCUUUUAUAAAGGAAUAAAGUGAGGCACGUGUGCCUUUUUGUGUGUACUUUAUGAAUAAGGAUCGGCUAACUCCGUGCCAGCAGCCGCGGUAAUACGGAGGAUCCGAGCGUUAUCCGGAUUUAUUGGGUUUAAAGGGAGCGUAGAUGGGUUGGUAAGUCAGUUGUGAAAGUUUGCGGCUCAACCGUAAAAGUGCAUUUGAUACUGGCAGCCUUGAGUACAGGAGAGGUAGGCGGAAUUCGGGGUGUAGCGGUGAAAUGCGUAGAUAUCACGAAGAACUCCGAUUGCGAAGGUAGCCUACUAAACUGCCACUGACAUUGAUGCUCGAAAGUGUGGGUAUCAAACAGGAUUAGAUACCCCAGUAGUC
This 460-nucleotide ribosomal RNA is filed under the name uncultured bacterium. Its description in RNAcentral is "partial 16S ribosomal RNA". It matches the Rfam family "Bacterial small subunit ribosomal RNA", at positions 338 to 795 of the family's 1533-position model. The record is from RNAcentral.